This 538-nucleotide ribosomal RNA is filed under the name uncultured bacterium. RNAcentral's name for it is "partial 16S ribosomal RNA". It matches the Rfam family "Bacterial small subunit ribosomal RNA", at positions 355 to 902 of the family's 1533-position model. The record is from RNAcentral.
UGGGGAAUAUUGCACAAUGGGCGCAAGCCUGAUGCAGCAACGCCGCGUGAGGGAUGACGGCCUUCGGGUUGUAAACCUCUUUUAGCAGGGAAGAAGCGAAAGUGACGGUACCUGCAGAAAGAGCACCGGCUAACUACGUGCCAGCAGCCGCGGUAAUACGUAGGGUGCAAGCGUUGUCCGGAAUUAUUGGGCGUAAAGAGCCCGUAGGCGGUCUGUCGCGUCUGCUGUGAAAUCCCGAGGCUCAACCUCGGGCCUGCAGUGGGUACGGGCAGACUAGAGUGCGGUAGGGGAGAAUGGAACUCCUGGUGUAGCGGUGGAAUGCGCAGAUAUCAGGAAGAACACCGAUGGCGAAGGCAGUUCUCUGGGCCGUAACUGACGCUGAGGAGCGAAAGCGUGGGGAGCGAACAGGAUUAGAUACCCUGGUAGUCCACGCCGUAAAACGUUGGGCGCUAGAUGUGGGGACCAUUCCACGGUUUCCGUGUCGCAGCUAACGCAUUAAGCGCCCCGCCUGGGGAGUACGGCCGCAAGGCUAAAACUC